AUUGUUAUAAGCUCCGCCCUGUACACCUGGCAGUCAGUAUAGCGAGAGCCGCCUCCAUCUUAGCUCCCUGUCAAUCAUUGUUAUAAGCUCCGCCCUUUACACCUGGCAGUCAGUAUAGAGAGAGCCACCUCCAUCUUAGCUCCCUGUCAAUCAUUGUUAUAAGCUCCGCCCUUUACACCUGGCAGUCAGUAUAGAGAGAGCCGCCUCCAUCUUAGCUCC
RNAcentral lists this long non-coding RNA (219 nucleotides) under Pelobates cultripes (western spadefoot toad). The record is from RNAcentral. Lineage: Eukaryota; Metazoa; Chordata; Amphibia; Anura; Pelobatidae.